AGUGUGAUAGUUUAAUGGUAAAACACUGACAGUGUCGGCGAUGCAGGUUCGAGUCCUGCUCAUGCUA
Molecule: transfer RNA, 67 nt
Filed under: Companilactobacillus paralimentarius
Lineage: Bacteria; Bacillati; Bacillota; Bacilli; Lactobacillales; Lactobacillaceae
Description: Lactobacillus paralimentarius tRNA-OTHER
Rfam family: tRNA
About the family: Transfer RNA (tRNA) molecules are approximately 80 nucleotides in length. Their secondary structure includes four short double-helical elements and three loops (D, anti-codon, and T loops).
Source: RNAcentral